CGGAACACGUACAGAACCUUCCUUUAAGCGGGGAUAGCCCAUAGAAAUGUGGAUUAAUACCCCAUAGUAAUAUUGACUGGCAUCAGAUGGUAUUUAAAGAUUUAUCACUUAAAGAUGGCUGUGCGGCUGAUUAGGUAGUUGGUGCGGGUAACGGCCCACCAAGCCAUCGAUCAGUAACUGGUGUGAGAGCACGACCAGUCACACGGGCACUGAGACACGGGCCCG
Molecule: ribosomal RNA, 225 nt
Filed under: uncultured bacterium
Lineage: Bacteria
Description: partial 16S ribosomal RNA
Rfam family: Bacterial small subunit ribosomal RNA
Source: RNAcentral